CAGUAGCCGCGGUAAUACGGAGGGGGCUAGCGUUGUUCGGAAUUAUUGGGCGUAAAGGGUGCGUAGGCGGUUCAGCAAGUCUCGUGUGAAAUCUUCGGGCUCAACCCGAAGUCUGCACGGGAAACUACUGGGCUUGAGUAAUGGAGAGGUGAGUGGAAUUUCCGGUGUAGCGGUGAAAUGCGUAGAUAUCGGAAGGAACACCUGUGGCGAAAGCGGCUCACUGGACAUUUACUGACGCUGAUGCACGAAAGCUAGGGGAGCAAACAGGAUUAGAUACCCCUGUAGUCCCUGUCUCUUAUAA
RNAcentral lists this ribosomal RNA (301 nucleotides) under uncultured bacterium. RNAcentral describes it as "partial 16S ribosomal RNA". It matches the Rfam family "Bacterial small subunit ribosomal RNA", at positions 509 to 809 of the family's 1533-position model. The record is from RNAcentral.